GUGGGGAAUCUUGCGCAAUGGGCGAAAGCCUGACGCAGCCAUGCCGCGUGGAUGAUGAAGGUCUUAGGAUUGUAAAAUCCUUUCACCGGUGAAGAUAAUGACUGUAGCCGGAGAAGAAGCCCCGGCUAACUUCGUGCCAGCAGCCGCGGUAAUACGAAGGGGGCUAGCGUUGCUCGGAUUUACUGGGCGGAAAGGGCGCGUAGGCGGACAUUUAAGUCAGGGGUGAAAUCCCGGGGCUCAACCUCGGAACUGCCUUUGAUACUGGGUGUCUUGAGUAUGUGAGAGGUGAGUGGAACUCCGAGUGUAGAGGGGAAAUUCGUAGAUAUGCGGAAGAACACCAGUGGCGAAAGCGACACACUGGCUCAUUACUGACGCUGAGGCGCGAAAGCGUGAGGAGCAAACAGGAUUAGAAACCCGUGUAGUCC
This 425-nucleotide ribosomal RNA is filed under the name uncultured bacterium. RNAcentral describes it as "partial 16S ribosomal RNA". It matches the Rfam family "Bacterial small subunit ribosomal RNA", at positions 354 to 796 of the family's 1533-position model. The record is from RNAcentral.